GUCCACGCCGUAAACGAUGUGCGCUAGACGUUGGUGGACCUAGUUCGCCAGUGUCGCAGCUAACGCAUUAAGCGCACCGCCUGGGGAGUACGGCCGCAAGGUUAAAACUCAAAGGAAUUGACGGGGGCCCGCACAAGCGGUGGAGCAUGUGGUUUAAUUCGAUGCAACGCGCAGAACCUUACCAGCCCUUGACAUGGGGAGUUUGGAUUGUGGAGACACGAUCCUUCAGUUCGGCUGGCUCCCACACAGGUGCUGCAUGGCUGUCGU
Molecule: ribosomal RNA, 267 nt
Filed under: uncultured bacterium
Lineage: Bacteria
Description: partial 16S ribosomal RNA
Rfam family: Bacterial small subunit ribosomal RNA
Source: RNAcentral